RNAcentral lists this ribosomal RNA (1341 nucleotides) under uncultured bacterium. RNAcentral's name for it is "partial 16S ribosomal RNA". It matches the Rfam family "Bacterial small subunit ribosomal RNA", at positions 28 to 1381 of the family's 1533-position model. The record is from RNAcentral.
GACGAACGCUGGCGGCGUGCUUAACACAUGCAAGUCGAACGGUAAGGCUCCAGCUUGCUGGGGUACACGAGUGGCGAACGGGUGAGUAACACGUGGGUGACCUGCCCUGCACUUCGGGAUAAGCCUGGGAAACUGGGUCUAAUACCGGAUAGAACUGCACCGUGAGGGUGUGGUGGAAAGUUUUUUCGGUGUGGGAUGGGCCCGCGGCCUAUCAGCUUGUUGGUGGGGUAAUGGCCUACCAAGGCGGCGACGGGUAGCCGGCCUGAGAGGGUGGACGGCCACAUUGGGACUGAGACACGGCCCAGACUCCUACGGGAGGCAGCAGUGGGGAAUAUUGCACAAUGGGCGGAAGCCUGAUGCAGCGACGCCGCGUGGGGGAUGACGGCCUUCGGGUUGUAAACUCCUUUCACCAUCGACGAAGGGUUUCUGACGGUAGAUGGAGAAGAAGCACCGGCUAACUACGUGCCAGCAGCCGCGGUAAUACGUAGGGUGCGAGCGUUGUCCGGAAUUACUGGGCGUAAAGAGCUCGUAGGUGGUUUGUCGCGUCGUCUGUGAAAUUCCGGGGCUUAACUCCGGGCGUGCAGGCGAUACGGGCAUAACUUGAGUACUGUAGGGGAGACUGGAAUUCCUGGUGUAGCGGUGAAAUGCGCAGAUAUCAGGAGGAACACCGGUGGCGAAGGCGGGUCUCUGGGCAGUAACUGACGCUGAGGAGCGAAAGCAUGGGGAGCGAACAGGAUUAGAUACCCUGGUAGUCCAUGCCGUAAACGGUGGGCGCUAGGUGUGGGUUUCCUUCCACGGGAUCCGUGCCGUAGCUAACGCAUUAAGCGCCCCGCCUGGGGAGUACGGCCGCAAGGCUAAAACUCAAAGGAAUUGACGGGGGCCCGCACAAGCGGCGGAGCAUGUGGAUUAAUUCGAUGCAACGCGAAGAACCUUACCUGGGCUUGACAUAUACAGGAUCGCGCCAGAGGUGGUGUUUCCCUUGUGGCUUGUAUACAGGUGGUGCAUGGUUGUCGUCAGCUCGUGUCGUGAGAUGUUGGGUUAAGUCCCGCAACGAGCGCAACCCUUGUCUUAUGUUGCCAGCACGUUGUGGUGGGGACUCGUAAGAAACUGCCGGGGUUAACUCGGAGGAAGGUGGGGAUGACGUCAAAUCAUCAUGCCCCUUAUGUCCAGGGCUUCACACAUGCUACAAUGGUCGGUACAGUGGGUUGCCAGUCCGUGAGGGCGAGCUAAUCCCGCAAAGCCGGUCUCAGUUCGGAUCGGGGUCUGCAACUCGACCCCGUGAAGUCGGAGUCGCUAGUAAUCGCAGAUCAGCAACGCUGCGGUGAAUACGUUCCCGGGCCU